GUCACUUUGCCGGAGUGGUUAACGGGAUCGCCUGCUAUCACCACUCGAUAGAUGAUAAAGCGGUUGGGCUUUGCCCGCGAGUGUUCGAAUCGCUCAGGUGACG
Crucibulum laeve is the source of this 103-nucleotide non-coding RNA. The record is from the annotation of a GenBank genome assembly. Lineage: Eukaryota; Fungi; Basidiomycota; Agaricomycetes; Agaricales; Nidulariaceae.